AGGGUUCGAUUAUGGCUCAGGAUGAACGCUGGCGGCGUGCUUAACACAUGCAAGUCGAGCGAGAAAUUUAUCAUUGAACCUUCGGGUGAUUUGAUAAAUGGAAAGCGGCGGACGGGUGAGUAACGCGUGGGUAACCUGCCCUAUGCAGGGGGACAACAGUUAGAAAUGACUGCUAAUACCGCAUAAGACCACAGUAUCGCAUGAUACAAGGGUAAAAACUCUGGUGGCAUAGGAUGGACCCGCGUCUGAUUAGCUAGUUGGUGAGGUAAUGGCUCACCAAGGCGACGAUCAGUAGCCGGCCUGAGAGGGUGGACGGCCACAUUGGGACUGAGACACGGCCCAAACUCCUACGGGAGGCAGCAGUGGGGAAUAUUGCACAAUGGGGGAAACCCUGAUGCAGCGACGCCGCGUGAAGGAAGAAGGUUUUCGGAUCGUAAACUUCUAUCAGCAGGGAAGAAAAUGACGGUACCUGACUAAGAAGCCCCGGCUAACUACGUGCCAGCAGCCGCGGUAAUACGUAGGGGCAAGCGUUAUCCGGAAUCACUGGGUGUAAAGGGUGCGUAGGCGGCGAGAUAAGUCAGAUGUGAAAACCCGAGGCUCAACUUCGGGAUUGCAUUUGAAACUAUUUUGCUAGAGUGCAG
RNAcentral lists this ribosomal RNA (641 nucleotides) under uncultured marine microorganism. RNAcentral describes it as "bacterial SSU rRNA". It matches the Rfam family "Bacterial small subunit ribosomal RNA", at positions 8 to 651 of the family's 1533-position model. The record is from RNAcentral.